AUGGUAUCCAUUGAUGCCCCUCCUGUCACUAUUCAGAAAGGAACUUGCAUUGCUCAACUUAUACCUUUUGUGAGUUCUGUUCCAAAUACAGUGGACCGAAGUCGCGGCACAGGAAGCUUUGGAUCGACAGGAGAACCUCAAGUGUUUUGGACUGAGAAAGUAACAGAGAGCCGUCCAGAAAAGACAUGCACUCUCACCGCCAGUGGAUGUCAUCCAGGAACUAUAUCAGUAACAGGGCUGGAAUGCACAGGUAUCCAUGAAACCACUUCAAAUGGUAUUGUGGGAUGUGAUAUUGACUUCCAUGAGGAUCCCUAUGGGAAAAAUGUCCUCUCUGGAGGAACCACCAUGUGUAUCCUGGGAUUUGGGAUCAUGUGCAGAAGGAGAGGACAGUUUGCCUCCAAGUACAAUGAAGAUUAAGUAAAGCUCCUGAUUUCUCUGCAAAUCUACAGCCAGAAAGUCUGGGCAGAGGUGCUGAACCUUGUCUAGAGUGUGACAGUGUGGCCAAGUCUCCAUCACACUGACCAGUGUGCAAGGCAGAGGAGUGAAAACCACCCAAAUUCCACAUCCCUCUGUGCUGGUUUCACAGGACAUUCCAGAAAACAACAGUCCUGGCACAGAGAAGACCAGAACUGUAACGUGGUGACAACAAGCAGUGAAAGGUGCAAGCUUUGAGGUGAAUUAAAUUUGUGAAGGUGGAAGCUGAGCCUGGCAACGUGAGGAGCUGCUGUGGAGGAGAAUGAGAUUAACAGGGUAAAAUAUUUCCUGUUUAAGGUUGGCCUCAGGCAAGAACGAGUUUGUCAGUGUAAUAUGUUGUUGAAUUUUAAUAUGGAAAUGUCUCCUGGCAUGUAUUUCAAACACACUACAAAUAGUGAUAUUGAUCUAACCUUCAAUUAAUGGGAGAGGUCCUCUGUGAAAAUCGGAUCUGGGUUUGAAUGGCAAAUAGCUUUAAUAUUCUGAGGACAGUGGAUCAUUUGCACAGCUCAGUAAGAGACUAUAAAUCACCAUGAUUAG
Molecule: long non-coding RNA, 1011 nt
Filed under: Zonotrichia albicollis (white-throated sparrow)
Lineage: Eukaryota; Metazoa; Chordata; Aves; Passeriformes; Passerellidae
Description: lncRNA (ENSZALG00000008205.1)
Source: RNAcentral